Long non-coding RNA from Bufo bufo (common toad), 277 nucleotides. RefSeq lists it as uncharacterized. The record is from RefSeq and is a predicted model, not a curated record. The transcript is spliced from 3 exons. Lineage: Eukaryota; Metazoa; Chordata; Amphibia; Anura; Bufonidae.
CUGACAGACUGGAGGAGUUCUGCAGAGAAUUGAACAAGAACAGGUAGGGGGAAGAUCCUGUGUGUAUCAGCAGUGUCAUUGUACAGCUGGGACUUGUAGUCCUACACAUACAACAUGCUGCUGAGUCUCCCAGCAGUCAGACAUGUCACUUAGGGCAGACUUAUUCACUCCCUUUGCAGAGCAGGGGGAGGGGCAGAGAUUGUUGUUAUUGCAUAUAAACAAAGGGCCAGAAGAGAACCAGGGAGAUGAGGAAAUAUAAUUUUAACCUAAAAUUUGG